RNAcentral lists this ribosomal RNA (269 nucleotides) under uncultured prokaryote. Its description in RNAcentral is "partial 16S ribosomal RNA". It matches the Rfam family "Bacterial small subunit ribosomal RNA", at positions 524 to 792 of the family's 1533-position model. The record is from RNAcentral.
UACGAGGGGUGCAAGCGUUAUUCGGAUUCAUUGGGCGUAAAGGGUACGUAGGCGGCAAGCUAAGUCAACUGUUAAAUCUUCCGGCCCAACUGGAAGCUUGCGGUAGAUACUGGUUUGCUAGAGGAUGAGAGAGAGAAGUGGAAUUCUCGGAGUAGCGGUAAAAUGCGUGGAUCUCGAGAGGAACACCGAUGGCGAAGGCAGCUUCUUGGCUCAUUCCUGACGCUGAGGUACGAAAGCGUGGGGAGCAAACAGGAUUAGAUACCCGCGUA